Long non-coding RNA from Misgurnus anguillicaudatus (oriental weatherfish), 355 nucleotides. RefSeq lists it as uncharacterized. Lineage: Eukaryota; Metazoa; Chordata; Actinopteri; Cypriniformes; Cobitidae. The record is from RefSeq and is a predicted model, not a curated record.
AGCUCUCUCUAAGAGGAGACACAGGACUCAGACUGAAGCAGUUUAUGAAGAGAUUGAUCACAGACACACAAACACACACAAACACUUCACUCAGAGAGAGGACAUGCUAGAUGAUUAUGAUGAUGUCAUCAUUAUUGGACACAGUUCUCGAGCUAUAACAGAGGAAGUUCAUGAGGAGUAUGAUGAUGUGAAGAAUAUCAGUGCAGAUGUGAGAAAUCUGAUGGAAAGGAGGAGUCAACCAAAGACGGAGGUUCAAUUCAAUAAGCACAACCAAUGAUUCUGUUCAUUAAAUCAUAUUUAUUGAUCCUUCGUGAAGUUUGAGAUUUCUUUUAGUUUUCUUAUAUUGUUACAGUAC